This 2900-nucleotide long non-coding RNA is filed under the name Mus musculus (house mouse). RNAcentral describes it as "long non-coding RNA chrX:18219586-18222486". Lineage: Eukaryota; Metazoa; Chordata; Mammalia; Rodentia; Muridae. The record is from RNAcentral.
GUUCUAUUUUCCUGAGAUGUGGAAACUGAAGUGUCACGUGAAAAAAAAAAAAACAGCAAAAGUUUAGAUAGAAAUACAAACUUGGUUAAAUAAAUGUAUUGUAUAUUAGGUGAGGAGUUUUGAUCAAUAAAGAGAUUAGACUGUAGAGUUCUUCCUUCUCGACAAAUAACCCUAUCUGUUACCUUUAAGUGAUGGUAUCGAUUGACAUCUGCUAAUUGGUUAUUUUGCUGAUGCUAAUGAUUUAGAGAGAAAAGAAUGAUGCAGACCCGAAUAAAUCAAAACUUAGAAAAAUGAGGACAAUACAUCAUAGAUAGAAAAUAAAAUGAUUGGAUUAUAGAUUCAACCUUAUCACUGUAUUUAAUACUAAGUAACAAAUAGUUGACACUGAAUUUGCAUGGUGAGGUUUGACUAUAAUAGUGGAUUUAGAAGGAAGCUAAAAAAUGAAGAUAUUCUAGAUCAGGAGAAUAUAGUUUAAAGAAGCAGUGAAGUCAAGAAUACCAAUAUUUGCAGACAGAAAUUUUUGAGGUAAGCCACUUCACCUUUGAGGUAAGCUGAAGAUGAACAGUAACAGCCAACUGAGAGUAUAUUUGUUAAAUGUAACAAAGAGAUAUGAUUAUUAAGUUAUUAGUGUCAUACAAACUACCUGUUUGAGGAAGUAAGUGUAAGCCAAAAUACAAAAUCUUUUAAGGAAUUUUUAUCGGUAAUCUAGUAAUGAGUUUCUGAAAGUUGUUUCUAUAACAUUAUAGCACCAAAGGUUGUGUGUGUUUGUGUGUGUGCGUGUGCGCAUGCGUGCACCUGAGGCUGUGCAUGUGUGUGCACAUGUGUUUGUCUUUCGCACUUUUAGACCUUAAAGAAUGAAUAUACACCGAGCCUAAUGUGUUUAUAGUAUUUCUGAAUCUAGGCUAAUUGCCUACUCAUAGGGAUCAUGUUUAAAAUAAAGCUAUGUUUGUACGUAUGUAAUGUUGUGAAUCAAGUGGAAGAGAUGUCUGUACUGAAGGCUCACAUCACAGAUACUACAUUUAGGGGAAAAAAACCUAGAAUUUUAAUUUAGACAAGAAAUACUUUUGCAAGUGGUUGUUACUGAUAUCAUGUAAUCUUUUUUUUUUUCCUCAUAAACUAUUUGUUUUACCUUUUUUCUUUGCUAACUUCUUUUCUGCAAUUCCACUUUUGUUUCAUAUCUGUGCCUCAGACUUGCCUGGGUUUUUAUGGGCACAUAUGAACAUUGCUUAGCAGUUUUUCUGACUCAUAUUAUAAGGACAUUAUGAAGCAUUAGUCUUGAUUUUUAUAUUUUUUUAGACUGUGUCUCUUGUAUCCCAGAUUGGCCUUGAGCUCACUGGCUAGGUAGCAAGGGCUGACCUUGAAUUUCUAUUUAUCCUGCCCCUACUUCCUCAGUGCUGAGAUUAGUCAACCUUCUCAGGCACCUCUUGUUUGUUCAGUGCCCUUGGGGCUGGAACCCAAGGCUUCACCAAUGCUGGGUAAGCACUCUCUUAACUCCCCUACAUACAUCUCUAGUUCUUGUUCAUAAUUUUUGCUAGCACACCUUAAAAGGUGUAGAUCAUAAAUAUGUAUUGCAGCAUGCUAUUGUAAAACAAUAAACAUUAAUACAACCAUCACUUGACUGAAGAUGUAAACAUUCGAACUACCCUAGAAGCUUCUGAACAUUUUGCAUACUGCUCUUUCCGCAGAAUUCUCAGUCCUACUUUCUAACCUUGAUGCCUCUACCCACAGAUAUACAAUCUUCCUCUCAUUGAGCUUGCAUUGAUUUUGAAACAGUUUUGAAUAUGAAUUUUAUCUUAUCCCUAUUUUUUUCUGUUAGCCCUUUCACCUUUCUCUCGUAUUAUACAUUCCUCAGACCCACUUAAAUAUCAUCUAACACAUAGAUGCCUAUUUCUUAAGGAAGAAAGUCAAGUACUGUCAUAAGCAGGAAUAUAGGUCUGAUGCUGAACCUAUGUUCUUCCUGCCAAAUAAACUACCUGGUAGAAGUCUUUAAUAUUAUAAAUAAGCACAUAUAUAAGUAGUCAUUUUUAGACUAGCCUAAGUAUGAUCCUUCAGAAUAAAACUACUAAAACACAUGAAGUAUUUUAUGGCAUAAUAUUUUGCAUAAACAAUUAGCUUUUAUUUUGGAAAAUCUAAGAUUCAAAAUACUCACCGUUAAUGUUUAUAAUACUAGUGUUAGCUCUUAAAAAUCUUUGCAAAUAAUAUAUAUUAUAUUUGAUAGAGGUUUUUAAACAAUAGAAGGUUUUAAAAACUACCUAAUAUGAUUUCAGUAUAUUAUUUUUUGUUAUUUUACUGUGUCCUGCUAUUAAAUUACAAAUAUUUGCAACAUUUUUAUUUGUAAACAGGGUCUCAGUAGCCCAGGCUGACCCCAGUCUCCUUAUCUUUCUUCCUUUCUACCUUUUGAGUACUGGAUUUACAGCUGUGAAUCACCAUACUUGGGUACUAAGGUUUCAACUUAGGGCUUCUUGCAUGCUAAGUAAGCACUCUACUAUCUGACUACAUCCUCAUGCCAGUACCUUUAUAACUUUAAACAUUCAAAACAUUUGGUCAUUGUUUAAUAUGCCUUUUAAGCAUUGGCUACACUAACAUGAUCAAGUUAGAAACAAUAACAGCAUAAGAGUCCAUUCAGUAAAAGAUUUUCUUCCCUGAGUUUGUUCUACUUGAAUCAAACUUUUUUCUUUUUUUAAAAAUAAAUAAAUAUCCAAUGAGAGUUUGAGGGAAAGAGAUGGACAGACCAAGGAAACUUAACUAAAAUAAACUUAGAAAUAGAUCCACGUGAAUGUCUGGAUUUCUGUAGUUUCCAAGUAAGAAUGAUCUUUUUCUAUAUAAAUAAUGUGGUUGCUGGAUAUUACUUUAGAAAUGAAAACUGACUCCUCACUAAUGCAGUAUAAAAGAUAGAGUGC